This 70-nucleotide transfer RNA is filed under the name Amazona ventralis. Its description in RNAcentral is "tRNA-Glu". Lineage: Eukaryota; Metazoa; Chordata; Aves; Psittaciformes; Psittacidae. The record is from RNAcentral.
GGGGUUGRUUUUGUCUUAGCGGCCUUGUUGGUUGCAUCUAAUCCUUCUCCGUAUUAUGGUGUGGUGGGGC